RNAcentral lists this long non-coding RNA (1151 nucleotides) under Arachis ipaensis. Its description in RNAcentral is "long non-coding RNA (AIPA_LNC002136)". The record is from RNAcentral. Lineage: Eukaryota; Viridiplantae; Streptophyta; Magnoliopsida; Fabales; Fabaceae.
AAAAACACUCAUAUAGGAGCAACCUCCCCUUUUUUUAUUUAUCAUUUAUAAAUACAAUAUGAUAAAAUAAAACACGAUCCCAAGGCAAACCCAUGAGAAUACCCCUCUCUUUUUUUUUCAGCAAAAAAUAGACACUAUGUAACUUUAUUGCACUAGAAAAAAGAUACUAAAAAAUAUACUAUGGAACCCCCUUUGCAGUCGAUUAUAUCUGGUAAAGGAUUUAUAUUUGUUCUAGGUUUUUAGGAAAAAUGGAACAAUUCUAUUCAGUAGGAACAAAAAGAAGUGGAUCUAUUUUAUUCUAUAUCCGAUAAAUAACAAUACGCAAUGGUGGUGUGGGAGGACGUUGACCAAAUGAAUAAAAAAAAGGGAUAGUUAUUACAAACAGGUUCUUUGAAUGAUAAAAAAAGAUAUGUUUGCAUUCACGAAUAAAAACACUCAUAUAGGAGCAACCUCCCCUUUUUUUAUUUAUCAUUUAUAAAUACAAUAUGAUAAAAUAAAGAAAAAUCAAUUUUUAGACAAUAAACCUUUACGUUUCCACAUCAAAGUUACAUAUAUUACUUCAUUUUUGUUUUCCAUUUUAUGCCUAUUGGUGUUCCAAAAGUUCCCUUUCGAAGUCCUGGAGAGGAAGAUGCAUCUUGGGUUGACAUAUAGUGCGACUUGUCAGAUAUAUAUGGGUUAUAUGGGAUUUCCCCGUUUUCUCCACCGAUUGAGGUAUCCUCUCUUUCACCCCGAAAAAUAUUGAUUGAAUCGUCAAAAAUCUGGAGCGUGAAGUGUAAUGAAGUUCAAUUAGAUCGAUCUUUUAGUUUUUUAGGGGGUAUCCAAAUUAGUAUUCUCAAUUUUGAAUUAUUUAUGGUUGUCUUGACUGGACCAAUAAAUAAAAUGAAGCAUCCAGGCUCUGUUUAGACAAACCCAAUUGGGUAAUAUACCAAAUUUAGCAAAAAAUAGACACUAUGUAACUUUAUUGCACUAGAAAAAAGAUACUAAAAAAUAUACUAUGGAACCCCCUUUGCAGUCGAUUAUAUCUGGUAAAGGAUUUAUAUUUGUUUUAGGUUUUUAGGAAAAAUGGAACAAUUCUAUUCAGUAGGAACAAAAAGAAGUGGAUCUAUUUUAUUCUAUAUCCGAUAAAUAACAAUACGCAAUGGUGGUGUGGG